UAUGUGAUCGUCUCUCGCAUAUCAAUAAGCGGAGGAAAAGAAACUAACAAGGAUUCCCCUAGUAACGGCGAGUGAAGCGGGAAGAGCUCAAAUUUGAAAUCUUAAAGGGUUUCCCUUUACGAAUUGUAGUUUAAAGAAGUGUUUUCUGUUGAGGUUUUGGUAAAAGUUCUUUGGAAUAGGACAUCAUAGAGGGUGAGAAUCCCGUAUUUGACCUUUACUUUCAACUUUGUGAUACACUUUCAAAGAGUCGGAUUGUUUGGGAAUGCAGUCCAAAAUGGGUGGUAAAUUUCAUCUAAAGCUAAAUAUUGGCGAGAGACCGAUAGCGAACAAGUACCGUGAGGGAAAGAUGAAAAGAACUUUGAAAAGAGAGUUAAACAGUACGUGAAAUUGUCAAAAGGGAAGCGUUUGACACCAGUGUUGUUUUUCUGAAAAUCAAUUAAAGAACUGUUUAUGCUAAGUUGUUUAGACUUUAUCAGCUAUCUGCUUAGUUUUGAGCUUUUCUUUAAUGCACUUUUCAGUUAACAAGUCAACAUCAAUUUCUUUUGUUGUAAAAGAGUAUUCGGAAGGUGGCUUUCUUUUCGGAGAAAGUGUUUAUAGCCCUAUACUUCUACAAUCGGAGAGAUUGAGGUCUGCAGCGUAGAUCCUUCGGGGUUAGAUACAUUUGUGCUAAGUUGUAGCUUUUCAUAGACAACUUGUUGACUAUGUUUAGUCAUGCGGCUUACUCGCUCAUGCUAUUUUACCUACGCUUAGGAUGUUGACUGAUAUGUAGUCGU
RNAcentral lists this ribosomal RNA (773 nucleotides) under uncultured Neocallimastigales. RNAcentral's name for it is "partial large subunit ribosomal RNA". It matches the Rfam family "Eukaryotic large subunit ribosomal RNA", at positions 24 to 643 of the family's 3401-position model. The record is from RNAcentral. Lineage: Eukaryota; Fungi; Neocallimastigomycota; Neocallimastigomycetes; Neocallimastigales.